AGCGAACGCUGGCGGCAGGCUUAACACAUGCAAGUCGAACGAUCCUUCGGGAUAGUGGCGGACGGGUGAGUAACACGUGGGAACGUGCCUUUAGGUUCGGAAUAACUCAGGGAAACUUGAGCUAAUACCGGAUGUGCCCGUUCGGGGAAAGAUUUAUCGCCUUUAGAGCGGCCCGCGUCUGAUUAGCUAGUUGGUGGGGUAAUGGCCUACCAAGGCUACGAUCAGUAGCUGGUCUGAGAGGAUGAUCAGCCACAUUGGGACUGAGACACGGCCCAAACUCCUACGGGAGGCAGCAGUGGGGAAUCUUGCGCAAUGGGCGAAAGCCUGACGCAGCCAUGCCGCGUGAAUGAUGAAGGUCUUAGGAUUAGUAAAUUCUUUCACCGGGACGAUAAUGACGGUACCCGGAGAAGAAGCCCCGGCUAACUUCGUGCCAGCCGCCGC
Molecule: ribosomal RNA, 441 nt
Filed under: uncultured bacterium
Lineage: Bacteria
Description: bacterial SSU rRNA
Rfam family: Bacterial small subunit ribosomal RNA
Source: RNAcentral